Trichomycterus rosablanca is the source of this 7876-nucleotide RNA transcript. It is a transcript of the gene named golgin A4, with no coding region annotated. The transcript has 24 exons. The record is from RefSeq and is a predicted model, not a curated record. Lineage: Eukaryota; Metazoa; Chordata; Actinopteri; Siluriformes; Trichomycteridae.
CGAUAACGCAGAGCGACUCAGUGCGUAUGUAUUUUUGGAUGCUGCUUCGAACAAUAAGACAUUUAUAAAAACAGCUUUUGGUAGGGACACCUACUACGCGCAGUCAUGUUUAAGAAACUGAAGCAGAAAAUUAAUGAGGAACAGUUACCACAAAAGAAUGUCCUUUCACCACAACAGGCCCAGAUGAGUUUAGGUGCGAAGCGUGGUAAACCACCUGGCCUGCACCAAGACCCACCUUCCUGUUUAAGCGACAAAGAGAGGGAGGAACCACAGUCUCUUGCUCAAAAGCUACAGCAGAGGGUAUCCUCAGUUGAGUCUCUCUUCCGGGGCUCAGUACGUGCUGAGGGGAUUUUUCGCUCUGGCUCCAGGGAUAGCCUGGUUCGUAGUGCAUCUCGGGAUUCUCUCAAUAUUCUGGGGGAGAAUGAUUUUCUUUCAGGCCCGUCCUACGACCCCCCAUCUGACAUCGAGAGUGAGGCUGAGGAGGCACCUGCCAACACAGAGACUUUUUCCAAAGAGCAACUCUUGCAUUGUCUACAUAGGGUGGAGAAAAGCCUAGCAACGUAUAGAGGGAAAUACUCUGAGCUGGUGAUUGCCUAUAGAACAGUACAGAGAGAUAAAGAGAAAACGCAGGCUAUUCUCAGCCAGAGUCAGGACAAAGCACUACGGAGAAUAGGAGAACUUAGAGAGGAGCUGCAAAUGGAUCAACAGGCCAAGAAGCAACUGCAGGAGGAGUUUGAUGCAGUUUUAGAGGAAAAAGACCAGAUAAUUACUGUGUUGCAGACUCAGGUUGCUCUUAUGAAAAAACGACUACAUGGUGACCAUGAGGGUUCGGUAUCACCUAAGGAAGACAACUCCUACAUUUCUGAUCAUAUUCAAAGUAUAUCUGAUCCUCAAAGCAAUGCUCAAGGGGAAAGCCUAGAGUUAAACCUGGAGGGCAGUGGUGAGCCAGGUACAUCUGUGGAGUUGGAAGUUUUGCAUAAGCGAGUACAAAGGCAGGAGACGCUGUUGCAGCGCUGCAGGCAGCUUAUCGAAACCAACAAGGAGCGCAGCGCUCAGCUCAGCAGUGAGAACGAGGCCCUGCAGCAGCAACUUCAGGAGAGACUGCAAGAGCUGGAAAAGAUAAAGGAACUUCACACCACUGAGAAAACCAAGCUUAUCACACAGCUGAAGGAUGCCAAAAACCUUAUUGAACAGCUGGAGCAGGACAAGGGCAUGGUUAUUGCUGAGACGAAGCGGCAAAUGCAUGAGACUCUGGAGAUGAAAGAGGAGGAGAUUGCUCAGUUGCGCUCCAAGAUCAAACAGACUGUUGCCCAGAAAGAAGGAAUACAAGAGCAAAAGGAAAGAGCAGAAAAAGCUGCAUUUGAGGAGCUGGAACGGGCCUUGGGUGUGGCACAGCGAGCAGAAGAAUCACGGCGCCAGCACCAAGACUGCAUGGAGGCACAGAUAAAGGAUGUAGAGCAAGCCAGUAAGAAAGAAAAAAGGAUUCUACAGCAGGAGCUUACCAGAGUCAAAGAGGAGGUGGUAAAUAUCAUGAAGAGGUCUACAGAAGAUAAGAUAGUGGAAAUGGAACAGCUGCACUCUGAAGCUUUGGCUAGUAAGGAUCAGGAAAUAAGUGCCCUGAUAAACCAGGCAGUGGAGAAAUGUCGUAAAGAGCAACUACAAACAGCAAAAGAGAAGGAGCAGCAGGCCUCUUUGGCUUUGGAAGAAGUAUUGCUGCAAAAGUCAGCCCUGCAGACUGAGGGUGAGAAGAAAGCCAGGGAACUGCUACUAGAGCUAGAGAGUGCCAGAACUAGAAUUCUUGACCUAGAGAGUUCUUUGGUGAAGUCCUCAAGCGAAAAGAUUACCCAGACAGAUCAGCAUUCAGGAGAGAUUGAAGAACAGAAGAGUAUGCAUGAAGUUGAAAUAGCUGCCAUAGAAGAGAGACAUCAGCAGAAUCUGGAGAGAUUAAGGGCAGAACUGACAGAGACUUUGAAUCAGCAGCACUCUACUGCUGCUGAAGAACUAGUGCAAUAUCACAAGUCUGAAAUUAAAUCCAUUUUAAAAGACAAAGAAAUGCAAUUUCAUGCUCAUGUUGAGGACAUGAAUCAAAAAAUGUUGGAGAAAAUGGAUCUUAAACAAACUGAGCUGGAAGCUAUGUCUUUUAAACUCAGUGACAUGCAUAAUAGUAGACAACAGCUAGAGGAGAAGCUUGCAGCUUUUGAGUCUGAAAAUGAGUCAGCUCAAAAAGAAAUUAAGCUAAGAUUAAAUGAGGAACAGUUAAAACUUCAGUCUGAGCUUGAAAAUAUAAAGCAUCAACAUGAACAAUCUUUUAAAGAAAUGGAAAAAACUUUUAAAGAAGAGUUAAAUCAACUGAAUUUGGCACUAAAGGAGAAAGAUAAAGAGUUGGAGCAAUAUGUUUUACAAGAAAGAAUAUUACUGGAGGAUGCCACAAAGGCUCAACAGAAUGUUGAGAGACAGUUAGGGGAAAUGGAAGAGCUACGACACAUUGCACAGUCUGAAAGGGAUGCCUUGGCUGAGGCUAAUGCUCAGCUUAUCACUCUGAGAGAGGAAAUCGAGCAGGCAAAGAAUGAAUUACAAAAUGCACAGAAGCUUCUUGACGAAAUUCGUAAUGAGUGCAAGCGAACACAAAACUGUCUGCAACAGAAGACUGAUGAAAACAAAGAACUACAGCAAAAAGUACAACAAGCAAUGAAUGACAUGACUGAAAAAGAGAAUUCACAUGCUGAAAUGCACAAAACAAUGCAAGAGGAGCAAAAUUGCUUAAAGAAGCAGUUAGAUGAAGAAAAAUGUGCUUAUGAGAAGAGAUUUAAACAGAAAGCCAAGGAAAUGCAGGAAAAGUUAAAAAAAAAACUUGAGCAACGAGAGGAAAAUUACAAAGCUGAGUUAGUGAAAAGGGAUAAAGAUCUUCAGCAGAAAGAACAACAGGUAAUGGUACUAGAGAUGACUCAGGCUAACACAGAAAGCCUAAGUAGUGCUGUAUCUGACAUGGAGGCAAAUCACAAGGAGCAGUUAGAAAAGCUGCGCGAGGUCCACAAACAGAAACAGAAGGAACUUUUAUGUUACUGGCAGGAGAAGCUAAGCCAGCAGGAAAAAGAGUUGAAGGAGAAACAUUUGCUGGCAUUGCAGGAGAAUGUGCAAGAGUUGGAGGGCAUCUCUCAAAAGCUUUUAACCAGCAUAGAUGAGAAGGAGUUAGUUGUUAAAGAAACAAAGAAUCUUAGGGAAGAGCUUGCAAUAAGAGAAACAACUGUGCAGAAACUUCAUGCAGAACUUAGGGACGCUGCUGUGAAGCUAGAAAAUUUAUCUGGUGAAGAGGAUAUGCUUAAAAAGCAACUAGAAACUAUGGAGAAGAACUUAAACCAAGCCUUGAAUGAAAGAAACAACUUUCAGGAUCUGUUAUGUAAGGUAGAGGACACCAGUAAAGAGAGAAUACAGGCUCUCUCUGAAGACCUAGAAGACACAUACAAGAAGCUCAAUGUACUUGAAACAUCCAGAUGUAAGGAGGAUGAGAGUAUGCACACGAUUCUUGAAGAAAAAACUAUUGAGCUUGAAACUAAAGAAAGAGAAUUUGUAACACAAAUCUCUAAUAUUAGCAAGGAGUUGGAGAAUCACUGUCAAGGUGCACAAGUAGUGCUAAAUGAUUUAUUUGAUGAUCUGUACAAUACACUAGAGGCCAAAGUCAUGAAGCUACAAAAUAAGAUUACAUAUAGUCAAGCAAAACUGUGCAAUUUCAAAAAAGUCAUUGUGACCAAGAACGAAAAAAUUUGUUGUUUAGAGACAGAGCUUCAACAAGCCAUGGAGGAGAGCCAUAAUCUUAAAAAUGCACUUAACCAGCUGGCUUCUCAGCUUAGUGCCUUAACACUUGAGAAAGAAACUUUGCAAAAGGAUUCUAACAAUCACUCCCAACUACUUUCUGAAAAAGUCGCUUGUAUAGAGAAACUUAAUGCAGAAAACAAAAACUUAUCUAAUCAACUUGAAUCAAAUACUUUGCAUAUCAGUCAUUUGGAGAACAUCAUAGAUGAUCUUAAAAAGCAGUUAACUGAAAAAGAAGAAGCCAUAUCUAUGCUGAAUCAUCAGCACAAUGAGGAAAAGCAAAGCCAAAUGGAGGAUACAGUACAAAAAGUGGAGAAUGAAAAGAGAUUAGCUCUUGAGUCCAAGGUUCAAAACCAAACCACUGUUGAACAUCUUCAAUGCAAAAUAUUGGACACGGAAAGACAGAUUGCAGAGAAGGACGAGCAUCUUCAGAGACUCACUGCCAGUAUUGAGAAUCAGUCCAUCAGUAAAUCAGAAAUGGACCAGGUGCUGAGUGAAAAAGAGCAGCGAGUAAGUGCUUUGACUUUAGAGCUGGACAACUGCACAAGAAGGGUUAUUGAGCUGGAGGUACAACUUGAACAACAGGCAAAAAAACAAGAACAGGAAUUGGUUGAGUUGCAGCAAAACCAUGGUAUAUUAGAGAGGGAAAAGACAACACUAAUUGAGCAGCUUCAGCAAGCCAAAGAGCAGAGAUCACAGAAAAAUGAUUUAGAAAUAAAACUCCAUUCUUUAGAGAGAGAGGUAAAAAAUACCAAACAAGAACUCGAAAGUCAGCAAAAAGACUUUGAGAGGGAAAAGGCAUACAUACUAAAGUCACAAGCAGAGGCUUUGAAGGCAGCUGAGGAGAGUGCAGGAAAAGCAGCUGAGCUGAAAAGAAAAGCUGAGCAAAAAAUCAGCUCAAUUCGGAAGCAGCUGACUUCACAGAUUGAACAAAAAGAGCAGACUAUCAAAGAUAUGCAAGUGCAUCUGGAUGACAUCAGCCAGAGACAGAAUCAAAAGGAACAACAGAUGAAAGACAUGGAAAAGAAUGUGAAGGUCAUGGAGGAGAUCAUCAACAACCUAAGAAAAGAGCACACAAAACUCAUGGAACCGAUGGAACAGCAGCUCGUGCAACAGCAUAACGAAACACAAGACAACCAAAAUUCUCUGCAAAUCGCAAUUAUAGACAAGAAGUUAACAGCUAAGAAAUUUGCAGAAGAUGAGACUGAUGCUGUGUGCAGACAAAUGGAAGGAGAAGCCCUUACCAGGCUCAGAGAGGUUGAGGCUAGACUCGCUGAAUCUGAAAAACAGAACAUUGCUCAUCAAGCUAAAAUUGGUGACCUUAAAACAGAACUGUUUAAACAGACUGCAUUGGUUCAGGAGCUCCAGAAGACUUGUCUUGAGGUCAAUGUUAAAGAGAAAAAUGACACACAAAUAGAACAGUGCUCUGUAAGGCAGACUGCCAGUUUGUUACAAAUUGACCCUGUGAGAGCCAAGGACAAAAAAGAAGAACCCUGGAUAGAAAAUGAGUUGAAGAUCCAAGAUCUCAAUAGGAAAAUAGAGGAAAAAAAUGAUCAGCUUAAAGCCCAGGAAAACCUACAGAUGGGACUUAGUAAGAGUGAGAGUGAACAUUAUAUUCCAGAGUCCAGGAGUCCAGAGAACCAUCUACAAAGAAAACUGGUGGAAACUGAAAAUGAAAAGAAGAAAAUGUCAAAGGAUUAUGCCCAGUUGCAGAAAGACCUUCGUUCAUUGAGGAAAGAACAUGAAAAAGAGUUAGAAUACCUUAGAAAAGAAAUGGCUGAGGAGAAUGCAAAAAAAAUUAAACUUGACAUAGAAGAUUUGGAUAUGAAGCAUAAUUCUGCACUUAAGCAGAUGAUGAGGGAGUUCAACACCCAGAUGGCUUUAAAGGAGAAAGAACUUCAAGAUUCAGUAAGGGAGGCCAUUGAAAAGGCGCAAAGUGUUGAAGCUGAGCUAAUAAGAAGCCAUCAAGAGGAGGCUAGUCAGCUGCAGAUAAUAAUUGGCCAAAAAGAAGAUGAUAUCAAAAAAACUGUCCAGCGUUAUGAGCAAGUCCUUCAGAGUCGAGAGGAAGAGAUGGGCACUCGAGUGUGUGAGGUACAGAAUGAGCUGGAGGAGUUGCGGCAAAGGAGUCAAAGUGCUCCAAAGAGUAUUGAGGAACUUCAGGUCCAACUAGCUGCGAAGACCACCCUGCUGAGUGAAGCCAGGCUUAAAGAACAAGAAUACCAAGACAGGAUUCAUACUCUGGAGGACACGAUACGGGGAGCUUAUAAAAACUCAGUGGUGACUCACCUAGGAACCACAUACAAUGAACCUUCACACUACCCUAUUGAUUCCCUUACCGAACCUGCUGAGUUUGAGUAUCUGAGGAAGGUCAUGUUUGAGUACAUGAUGGGGAGAGAAACAAAGACAAUGGCCAAAGUCAUAACCUCCAUGCUUAGGUUUCCACUGGACCAGGCACAAAAAGUUCUGGAGCAUGAAGAUGCCCGAGUGAUGUCUUGGCCCUGGUAAAGUGAAAUGAUACCUGCAGCUGGACAAUUGAAGAUAAAGGGGCUUCUGCUGCUGCUCUUACUACAAACCAUGAUUUAAAGGAGGCAGAACUUCUUAGAACUUAAAUUAUCUAGUUCCUCUGGUCUACCUCUACUGCUGCUGACCUCCACUUCUCCACUACUUCAUGGACUGUUGGGACACAAGUCAGAGUCUUUAGAAAAACAUGGCAAUCACCUGCAGAUCUGCGUCAAAGCCGGUUCUAGUUUCUGAGAUGAUCAUGUUUGCUAUGAGCUGUGUUGGUGUGAUGUAAUCAGAAAUCUCUCAAUGCAGCAUUUCCCAACCUUUUUAACCUUUACACUUUCAGCAAGAAUAACAAAAUGUAUUAUUUUCAAACAAACGUUUAUUAGACGUCUGCCUAAUAUUUUUACAUAGGCCUACACAAGCCUACAAUUAUAAGAAAAGACUUAAACAAAAUGCACAAUUUAUAUGUGCUUAUACUGUAUAAAAAGGAAAGCUUUCUGAAAAAUUGGACUAUGAUUCGGUUAUAUUUCCUCAAUUGUGCAGCUCAAUUAGUGUGCCAACUGCUACUGGAGACAACUGAUUAUUUUGUUAAUGCGAGGACAGAUCUUUGAUAGAGCAAAUUGCAUGUCAUCCUCAGUGGUCAGUCUUGCACUGUAUUUAGUUUUGAUGGCUGUCAUUGCUGAAAACCCAGCUUUACACAGGUAUGUUAUGCUGAAUGGUAUCAACACUUUCAUUGCUGCAUCAUGAAACAUUUGGGUAUUCUUCAGACCAGAAUGUCUCCAAUGGGACUUCACUAAAAUGAGCUUUUGGACUGGGAUCAGAGAAUACAACCUGGUGUUUGUUGUGCUUGCUUUCACAAAGCACUUGCUUUCACAAGCGCUGUCUAAGAUGUCAUGUAGGCAUGGCUCCAUGUCUUUCAAAGCGAGCACCUCUAUGUAGAAAGCAGUGAGCUGAAAUAGCACAGGAAGCAAGGUCUUUAAUGCACUCUACAACACCUGAAUUCCUGCCUGUCAUACUGACUGCUUUGUCAGUGCACAUUCCAAUGCAAUUAAUCCAAUGUAUUUCAUUUGUUUUCAUGUUUUCAUCCAGAACUUCAAAAAUAUAAUUAGUAGCUCCUUGCAAAACAAAAAGUCCUUGUUUUUUUCCCCCAUUCAUAACAAACAUAUACAAGCAGGUGAGGCAUUUUGGACACAUCUGUUGACUUGUCUUGCUGAAGGGCAAAAUCACCUGAGAAUGACCCACCAUCUAAAUAAUACCUGCCUUGUGGUGGUCCUAGGAGAGUCCUGACCAUUAAAGAACAGGGUGAAAGCAGGCCAAAAAAACAUAUGUAGAGAAAUAGAUGGACUACAGUCAGUAAUUGUAGACCUACGAAGUGCUUCUAUAUGGUAAGUGGAGCUGAUAAAAUGGACAGUAAGUGUAGAAACAAGGAGGUGUUUUUAAUGUUAUAGCUGAUUAGUGUAUGUUGGUAUUUUCUGCUUCUGGUUAAUAUAGUGUGUUUACUGCUAGUGCAUAUAGAGCUUGUGUAGCUGGUGGUGGGAGUUUCUUCACCUGGGUCAGCUUC